RNA transcript from Anolis carolinensis (green anole), 6091 nucleotides. It is a transcript of the gene named nucleotide binding oligomerization domain containing 1, with no coding region annotated. The transcript is spliced from 13 exons. Lineage: Eukaryota; Metazoa; Chordata; Lepidosauria; Squamata; Anolidae. The record is from RefSeq and is a predicted model, not a curated record.
AAGCGGGAAGGCAGGAGGGAGUCCUGGCGCUCUCUGCUCGGGCUCUGGGGGCGGCGGCUCCGGAAGAUGCGAUCCGGGGCGGGGAGUAAAAGCAGAAGCAGCCCCGCUUUCUCCUCGUGCCCCUUCGGCCCCUUUCGCUUUUCUUUUCACCCUUUCUGGAUCCGCGGGUUGCUCAAAACCAACACCAGGUGUGAUCAUUCUGCUACACUUUGCAGAUCCCCAAAAAUGAAUUUGGAAGACAUAGCUUCUUACAGUUAUUGCAAUGGAAAAUCAACGUGGUGGUGAGACAACGAUACAGCAAACGGCUACAGCAGCCUGUCGGUCAUCCUUUGUUAGCCUGCUGAAAGUACACAGAGAACUAUUAGUUAGCAAAGUUCGUAAUACCCAGUGUUUGAUAGACAACUUACUCAAGAACGAGUAUUUCUCAACCGAAGAUGCAGAGAUUGCUGCACAGUAUCCAACCCAAGCUGAUAAGGUUCGUAAAAUUUUGGAUCUAGCUCAGAGCAAAGGAGAAGAAGUUGCAGAAUAUUGCAUCUAUGUCCUGCAGCAAGUCGCUGAUGCUUACUAUGAGCUGCAUCCAUGGCUGGAAGAGAUUGGAUUUCAUCCUUCAGAGGUCAUUAGUAGUAAACCUGUGGAAAAUACUGAUCCAGUCAGCAGGUAUCAUCAGAAACUUAAAGAUGAAUUGGGCCGAGACACAAAGUUCAUCGUGUCAUAUACCCAAAAGGAGGACAUGUUGCUUGAAGAAACUUAUUCAGCCAACAUUAUGGAGUUUAUCAAGCACAACAACGAGAAAUUUGGUGAUGUGAAUGCCCUGGAAGACCUUCUUAGUGACAACGUCGGCCUAGUUAAUGAAAAUGGAGAGACCGUCUACAUCUUUGGGGAUGCGGGGAUUGGAAAAUCUAUGUUGUUGCAAAAGAUGCAAAACCUUUGGUCCAAGGGUGAAUUCAGUGUUGGGGCCAAAUUCUUUUUCCGUUUCCGGUGCAGGACGUUCAGCUGUUUCAAGCACGAUGCAGCUAUCUGUUUGAAAGAUCUCCUAUUUAAAUACAAUUGUUUUCCUGACCAGGACCCAGAGGAGGUCUUUGACUUUAUUGUGAAAUUCCCUCACACAGUUCUGUUUACUUUUGAUGGCUUUGAUGAGAUCCAUUCUGACUUUGAUCUCAACAGCAUUCCUGAGACCUGUUCUCCCAGUGAAUAUAUUCACCCGCUUGCUUUGUUAGUGGGCCUUCUCACUGGGAAGCUUCUGAAGGGUUCCAGGAAAGUCCUGACAGCAAGAACAGGGACUGAAAUUGACAAAAACAUUAUCAGGAAGAAGGUGCAUCUCCUGGGGUUUUCCACCAGCAACCUGAAAGAGUAUACCAGAAUGUUCUUCAAAGAUGAAGGGUGCCGGACUAUGGUUCUCAACGAGCUGGAAGCAAACCCAAAUCUCUGCAGUUUAUGCUCAGUGCCUUUAUUUUGCUGGAUUAUCUUCAAAUGCUUUGACCAUUUUCACUUCACAUUUGACAGCCAUGAGCUCCCAGACAUCAAAGUUACUUUAACAGACAUUUUCUUGCUCAUGACUGAGGUCCACUUGAACCGGACUCAGAAAACAAAUUUGCUGAAGAAGAACACAAGGAGCCAAGUGGAGACAUACAGGAACAGCAAAAACAUUUUGUUUGCUCUGAGUAAAUUAGCACACAGGGGAAUGAAGAAGUCUAUUUUUGUCUUUGACCAGGAUGAAGUUCUCAACGAUCUGUCUGAACAGGAUUUACACUUGGGUUUCCUCAGGACGGUUCCAGAUUACGGAAGCUGCACUGACCAACCUUCCUAUGAAUUCUUGCACUUGACCUUGCAGUCCUUUUUUACAGCUUUGUUCCUGGUCAUGGAGGAGAAAGUGGGUGCAAAGGAGUUGCUGCAUUUCUUUGCUGAGUGCUCUACUCUCGAUACCUCUCUGUCCAACUGCUUACCAAUCGCCUGGUUGAAAAAUCACCGUGCGACAGGGGAGGAUCCUUUCCGGAAUAAGGAGCACUUCCAUUUCACCAACCUCUUCCUUUGUGGCUUGCUUUCCAAGGGACAGCACAAACUGAUGAGACACUUGGUUCCAUCGUUGACCAUUAAAAAGAAAAGGAAGGUGCUCCUUGCUUAUUUCUCUGGAAGCAUGAAGUCCCACCUCAAGGGCCUCAUCCGAGCGAGGCUGAAGGAAUAUAAGCAGCUUCAAGUCAGGCCCAAUUUUGUGUGGAUGUUGAGGUGUAUCUACGAGACACAGAGUGAGAAAGUCAGCAAAGGGGUUGCCAAGAAUAUGCGGGCCAACUACCUCAAGCUGACCUAUUGCAAUGUCUAUUCUGCUGACUGCAGUGCUCUCUCUUUUAUUCUGCAUCAUUUCCAGAAGCACCUGGCCCUUGACUUGGACAAUAACAACAUCAACGAUUAUGGAAUAAAGCAACUUUUUCCUUGUUUUAGCAAGUUGACAGUACUGCGGGUGAGUGUUAACCAAAUAACGGAUCAAGCAAUAAGAGUACUCUACGAAGAAUUGUCCAAAUACAAAAUUGUGACUUAUUUGGGCUUGUAUAACAACCAAAUUACUGAUGUUGGAGCCAAAUAUGUUGCAAAACUCAUUGUGGAAUGUCCAAGCCUCAUUUAUAUUAAAAUAGGAGCAAACAAGAUAACAACUGAGGGAGGGAAAAGCCUUGCUUAUGCUAUUCAACAGAGCAAAACAAUGUAUGAAAUUGGAAUGUGGGGUAAUCAAGUAGGGGAUGAAGGAGCCAAAGCUUUUGCGGAAGCCCUGAGGAAUCACCCCACCUUAACAAACAUCAGUCUUGCGUUUAAUGGUAUCACCACAGAAGGAGGCAAGUGCCUUGCAGAAGCCAUGAAGCACAACAACACUGUGAACAUAUUUUGGCUCACAAAGAAUGACUUUGAUGACGAAGCGGCAGAGUGUUUUGCCGAAAUGCUAAAGGUCAACAAGAGAUUGGGCCAUCUGUGGCUUAUCCAGAAUCAGAUUACUGCGAGAGGAGCCAAGUGUCUAGCUGACGCUCUCCAUGACAAUACAGCUAUUAAAGAAGUCUGCUUAAAUGGAAACCCAAUAAGCCAAGAGGAGGCCAAAGCCUUUGAAAACGAAAAGAGACUCAUUUGCUUUUGAGAAACUUCUUUCCGGGUUGGACGGCUGUCAGGAUGCCAAGGCUUAUUUCAGCAGCGGCUGGAGCCAGAACGACUCCCAAAAUCUGAACGGGAUGUGCACUUGACUACAGAAGCAUGCCUUUCACUUGCGGUGGAAGCGUGCCUGUAAAUUGUGUCUUUGAACAUUGCAGGCUCUCCUGGCUGCUGUUGUGCCAUUUUGGAUCACAAGUGCAAACAAAGACAUUAUUUUAACCAUUAACUAUGUAUAUACUCAGAUGUAAAGAAUGUGCAUGAGAAGGAGGGGGAACUUUCCAAUUGUUGGGAUCUUCUUUUUUAAACUGGAACUGUUAGAAUUAAGAAAAAAUUGUUGUCGAAGGCUUUCAUGGCCAGAAUCACAGGGUUGUUGUGUGUUUUCCGGACUGUAUGGCCAUGUAUAUACCUCACAACCUCUGAGGAUGCCUGCCAUAGAUGUGGGCGAAACGUCAGAAGAGAAUGCUUCUGGAACAUAACCGUGCAUAACAUAACCGGAAAACACACAACAACCCUUAAGAAAAAUUCUGGGCCAAGGCAUUCACCCUGAGUAUCAUAAUUGAAUGAGUGUCAGUCUUUCAACAAUAUAUUUUUGGUUCUCUUCUUUACUCCCAUCUCCUUUCUUCUUUUCGACACUCUACUUUGAGUGUAGCUUUGUCGUUGGCACUGCUAAAAAUUUAGGAGCCCAUCUUUCUUUCUGAUCUACUUAAAAUCACCAAUAGAUCUCCCAGUAGAUCCCAAACUACCUCCACCCCAACCGAAAAUCAUCCCUAUCUGGCAUAGUAUUUUUUUCUUUUCCCAACAGCAAAUUUACAAGGUUAUGUAUAGGAGUUUUCCUCUCCAGAACUGCCUGGCAUAGAUGUUUUCCUCUCCAGAACCUAUGAGGAUGCCUGCAAUAGAUGUGGGUGAAACGUCAGGAGAGAAUACUUCUGGAACAUGGCCAUACAGCCCGAAAGACAUACAACAACCCUGUGAUCCCGGCCAUGAAAGCCUUCGACAACACACUGCCUGGCAUUGUUUGGGAUUGAACCUGGGGCUUUCUACACACACAUCAAGCUUUCUAUGGUUGAGCUGUAACCCUGAACAACCGGCAAACCAUAUUUUUGUGUCUUAUUUUAUGUACACAGAUGUAAAUAAGUUGCUCUUUAACUUAUCUGUGGACAAGCCAGGUCACAGUGGUUGGUUGAACAUUCACAAGGCAACAGCUGGGCUGCCUACUGUUUUAUUAAGAGAUCUGGCUUUACCAAGGUGUGCACCAUCUGUUUCCAAUCCCGCUUUCUUUUUCUUGCCAUCAGCAGUGAUACCUUGGUUUGAUUUGCAAAGAUGGAUUACGUCAACACUUGAUUUGUCUGUGAGCUCCUGUUGACAUUUACACAAGAUGAGGGCAAAGUCUGAACCGAAGAGCAUUUGGUAGAAAAACAGUGUGGUUGCUAUUUGAUCGUUGUAUUUUGAGUGGCUGGACGGAUGCAGGAAAAGUCUGCAAUUCUAGGUACACAUAUGAAAACUUUGUGUGAAAGUAAAGAUAAAGAGUCAAAUACAUAAGAAAGGAGGUUUCUUUCUAUAGAUCCUUUUGCAAAUGUUACUUUAGAUCAAGAGAUAGUUUUCUAAGAUCUUGUAACACUCCUAGGCAGCGCGAACACUGGGAACCAAUACGGAGGCCAAUAAACAAUCUAAUAUCUUUAUUAAAGCAAUUAACGUUUCAAACAAAAAUAAGCAGAAUAGCUAGUCAAGCAGUUGACCUUUUAGGAAAGAUCAAAAUUAGUCCAAAAAAUGAAAGUCUUAUGUCCAGUAUUAAAGUCCAAAGUCCAAUAACCGAAACACACUCAAACUUAAUGGAAGUUUGAGUGGGGAAAGGAGCAAAGUUCCUCAGGAAAGUACUUGAAGUAAAAGUCCAGAACAAGGUUUCAAGGCAAGGCUAUGGCUGUUCGUGAUGGAUCUGAAACGCAGUCCAAACUUGGCAAGAGAUGAGACACAACGCCCGGUUUACUCAAGAGUAAGCGCGCCAGCAGGCUGCUUGGAAGCUCAGGAUCAAGAGACGAUGUAUUCUUCAGUCAGAAGUUAAGUUGACACCGCGACAGAGAUUCUCGGCGCAGAACUUUUAUUGAAGUCCAAGAGCUCUCCCAAAGCAGGUGCUGGACUCCCCAAAUCUUCCCAAGAGAAACGAGCUGCUAACAAUGAGGUGCCAGAUGCCUGCCUCCCCAAUUCUUCCCAAGAGAACUGGCUUGGCCACAAUCGCCUCAAUCUGCUAAUCUCACACUUCUCCUUAAACUUUGUCUUUGAGAGCGGUCUGUUUUGAAAGUAGCCCUUCUAUCAAACACUAAACUCUCCGGAGAUCCGGAAAGAACCGGCACCAUCUCAAGGGCAUUCCUAAUUGGCUCUGGCACGGCUAUGUCAACAGGAGACAUCUGGAAAGAGAUUGAAUCUUGCUGAGGUGGGAAAAAAACCCAAAUCCUCUUCAGUUUGAUCAGCAAUGGCUGCGGGAUCAGGGGCCAAAGGUGCCUGAGACAUCACAGAUCUACAGAAAUACUCGCAGGAACACCUCAGCAAGCGAGAGUCCAAAAGUGGCAGGCUAAAACCUCAAUCAGUGACUGACGCCAGAUGAGAGACUCCCUCCUGGGCACACAGAGGACUGGGCGACUUGGAAGGUACUGAACAGACUGCGUUCUCGCACCACAAGAUGCAGAGCCAAUCUUAAGAAAUGGGACUACAAAGUGGAGUCCACGACAUGCGAGCGUGAAGAAGAGCAAACCACAGACCGCUUACUAUAGUGCAGUCUGAGCCCUGCCACAUGUACAAUGGAGAACCUUCUUGUAGCAACACCAGAAGCACUCUUAAGUGGCCAGCUACUGGUCAAAGGACAUUCAGUAUAAUUCCAAGUUUUAAAAUUUUGUUUGUGUUUGUGAAUACAUUACAACUUGUGCCUUCAGUCUGCAUCUGACACAAUAAAUUAAUAAAUAACAUAACUGAA